GACGAACGCUGGCGGCGUGCUUAACACAUGCAAGUCGAACGGAAAGGCCCUGCUUUUGUGGGGUGCUCGAGUGGCGAACGGGUGAGUAACACGUGAGUAACCUGCCCUUGACUUUGGGAUAACUUCAGGAAACUGGGGCUAAUACCGGAUAGGAGCUCCUGCUGCAUGGUGGGGGUUGGAAAGUUUCGGCGGUUGGGGAUGGACUCGCGGCUUAUCAGCUUGUUGGUGGGGUAGUGGCUUACCAAGGCUUUGACGGGUAGCCGGCCUGAGAGGGUGACCGGCGACAUUGGGACUGAGAUACGGCCCAGACUCCUACGGGAGGCAGCAGUGGGGAAUAUUGCACAAUGGGCGGAAGCCUGAUGCAGCAACGCCGCGUGCGGGAUGACGGCUUUCGGGUUGUAAACCGCUUUCGCCGGUGACGAAGCGUGAGUGACGGUAAUGGGUAAAGAAGCACCGGCUAACUACGUG
Molecule: ribosomal RNA, 468 nt
Filed under: uncultured bacterium
Lineage: Bacteria
Description: partial 16S ribosomal RNA
Rfam family: Bacterial small subunit ribosomal RNA
Source: RNAcentral